UGGGGAAUAUUGGACAAUGGGGGGAACCCUGAUCCAGCCAUGCCGCGUGUGUGAAGAAGGCCUUAUGGUUGUAAAGCACUUUAAGCGAGGAGGAGGGUACUGGUAUUAAUACUACCAGGUACUGGACGUUACUCGCAGAAUAAGCACCGGCUAACUCUGUGCCAGCAGCCGCGGUAAUACAGAGGGUGCGAGCGUUAAUCGGAUUUACUGGGCGUAAAGCGUGCGUAGGCGGCUAAUUGAGUCGGAUGUGAAAUCCCCGGGCUUAACUUGGGAAUUGCAUUCGAUACUGGUUAGCUAGAGUGUAGGAGAGGAUGGUAGAGUUCCAGGUGUAGCGGUGAAAUGCGUAGAGAUCUGGAGGAAUACAGAUGGCGAAGGCAGCCAUCUGGCCUAACACUGACGCUGAGGUACGAAAGCAUGGGGAGCAAACAGG
This 430-nucleotide ribosomal RNA is filed under the name Pseudomonadota bacterium. Its description in RNAcentral is "Proteobacteria bacterium partial 16S ribosomal RNA". It matches the Rfam family "Bacterial small subunit ribosomal RNA", at positions 355 to 776 of the family's 1533-position model. The record is from RNAcentral. Lineage: Bacteria; Pseudomonadati; Pseudomonadota.